This 375-nucleotide unclassified non-coding RNA is filed under the name soil metagenome. RNAcentral's name for it is "partial contains 5.8S ribosomal RNA, internal transcribed spacer 2, and large subunit ribosomal RNA". The stretch from base 1 to 120 matches the Rfam family "5.8S ribosomal RNA", at positions 35 to 154 of the family's 154-position model. The record is from RNAcentral.
GAUGAAGAACGUAGCGAAAUGCGAUAAGUAAUGUGAAUUGCAGAAUUCAGUGAAUCAUCGAAUCUUUGAACGCAUCUUGCGCUCCUUGGUAUUCUGAGGAGCAUGCCUGUUUGAGUGUCAUUAAAUUCUCAACUACACUGACUUUGAAUUGGUGUGGCUUGGAUUUGGGGGGAAAAUUGUUGUGGGCUUUUUGUAUAGUCUGCUCCCCUGAAAUUGAUUAGCGGUACCUUUGUGGAACUGUCUACAGGUGUGAUAAUUAUCUACAUCUUAGACAUCUGCUGGAAUGCUGCUUUCUAAACCUUACUUGUAUUGACAAUCUUGACCUCAAAUCAGGUAGGACUACCCGCUGAACUUAAGCAUAUCAAUAACGGAGGA